CAUGCAUUGAACCUCGUCGCGCUCCGCAAUGGCGGUGUGAGGAAAGUCCGGGCAACAUAGAGCAGCGUACCACCUAACGGAUGGGUUCCGAUGAAGAUCGGAAACAGAUAGUGUCACAGAAACUAAACCGCUCCGAGCAAUCGGGGUAAGGGUGAAAAUGUGUGGUAAGAGCGCACACUUCUUUGUAGUAAUAUGAAGAUGGGAUAAACCUUACGUGUUGAAAUGCCAAGUAUAUCCGGAUCAUUUCAUUUUUCGGAAUGAAUGUAAGUGCGGCUCGCAUAACGCCGGAGGGGUAGGCAGUAAAGAGGUGUCUGGCGACAGACAUCCAAGAUAAAUGACGGGGCUUCCUUCGGGAAUGACAGAAUCCGGCUUAUAUCAAUGCAUUUUUA
This 389-nucleotide RNase P RNA is filed under the name Saprospiraceae bacterium. RNAcentral's name for it is "RNase P RNA component class A". It matches the Rfam family "Bacterial RNase P class A". Rfam says of the family: Ribonuclease P (RNase P) is a ubiquitous endoribonuclease, found in archaea, bacteria and eukarya as well as chloroplasts and mitochondria. Its best characterised activity is the generation of mature 5'-ends of tRNAs by cleaving the 5'-leader elements of precursor-tRNAs. The record is from RNAcentral. RNAcentral also lists the same sequence under 1 other name. Lineage: Bacteria; Pseudomonadati; Bacteroidota; Saprospiria; Saprospirales; Saprospiraceae.